This 5990-nucleotide long non-coding RNA is filed under the name Varroa destructor (honeybee mite). RNAcentral describes it as "uncharacterized LOC111245394, transcript variant X3". Lineage: Eukaryota; Metazoa; Arthropoda; Arachnida; Mesostigmata; Varroidae. The record is from RNAcentral.
AGCAGACGGGGUUCGUUGACCUGGCUGACACAUCAGGAGUCAGCGGAGUCCGUUCGCCCCCGGGGCAGAAUGGCCCUUCUCAGUGUGGAGUUUUCUUGAUCGGGUAGAGGGAGGUCGAAUAACAUUGAGCUGACAUAUAGGGUGAAAGCACGGACGAAGCGGCGACUUUGGAAAGUCCAAGGAUUUUCGCCAGAGGAGUGAAAACGUAAUUUUUUUCGCAUAGCCAAACCCACGACAUCCAAGGAACCGGGCCGUCUACACCCGGAUAAGUUCCUGCCACAAUGUUGAUGAAUAAAAUUGCACUCCACUAGCAGAGUCCAUACGUAGGCUACCCUUAGCUUUCAGCUGCACCUCCACACAAAAUUUGGCUGUCAUCAUCAUCAACAAUGAUUUCUGCUAGGCGUGCUAUUAUUACUCGCUGCUUUAGCACCGGAAACGUCAUCAAAUCAUCACUGUAAUGUACCACUGGCCUGAACGAGAAUCCAGUGCAGAAUCAGAAGCACUGCCAAAAGCCAAGACUACUUUUUUGCUCAUAACCCGCUCCGUAGUUGUUCUGCUUAAGAAGUAAUUGCGUGCGUGUGUGUAAGGUUCCCGCUUGGACAGCUUCUUCUGGACGCAUGCUCUCGAUAGACCCGCUAGAUUAACCAAGCUUUUUUAAAACUGCCUAGUGCACAAGAGGACCUCUGGCAAUCGCCAGUGUCUCUGUGGCACAGCGCUAGGGCAGCUAAGACCUGAAAGGACCCUAUAAUCCUGGAUCUUCGUGUCCUCCUACAGCUAGUUCGAAACACCUUUCUCGACACCUAAUCCAUUCAACAUCUUUCUCGAGACUUCCGGUAUUCCGAGGAGACAACGCACCAUUGACGGCCAUCGAAAAGACAUGAGAUUUCAGCGACCUCUAGAAAAUCGGAUGCGAGAAAUGUAGCCCAGUGUUCGCGAUGUCAGCACCAGUAUGAAUCCACCCUAUAACGAUCGCUUCGUAACGUAUGACUUUUACAUACAUUAUGUUCUCCAGUCGCUAACAUGAUUGGACUCUAAAAGUGUCCAGAUAUCAUACGGCAGCCAAGAAACAUACAUUCAUUCGUACUGUAUGGAUGCAUUCAUCGCUAAAAUCAGGUACAAACUUUGUUUGAGCGCAGAAAUUGGUAGCUGGAACAAACUACCCUCAAUAGGCAUCUUUUCGAGUCUGCUGUUCCUAUUCGUACCAGGAACGCGAACUACAGCCAGAUGAACGGUUCUCAUAUUGAAAUCUAUUAGCGUUUGGGUUGGUACUAGAAAUUCCAUAGGCAAUUUUCUGUAUGUUUCCUGAGCAAUUCCAUGUCGUCCUCUCUGGCAGGGAAUCUCAUCGAGCUCUCAUAAAGCUUGUGUUUUAUAAUAUUCUUGAGAAAUGCGUCGUCAAGCGAUAACAUAUAUGACUCAUGGCUAUGUCGUGGCGAUGAUGGCCUGCUGAAACGUCCCUCAGAUCUUCAGUGAGCAAUCGAUUGUCCCCCAUAAAUUACCCGAACGUGCGUUAAUCUCAGAUUCAUUCAACUUAGAAUAGUCGUGAAGCGUCUUUCGUGUGAUAUCUGGCACACUGGCAUGAAAUCUAUUUUUGCUGAAUAUGCAAGCACUACCGAAGUAUGCAUUUUAUUAUUGAAUGUAACGUACACGUACACGUACCAACCUAAACAUAUCAUCGACUUCUAAAAAUGGCUCCUAUCAGUAUUAUAUCUCUGUUGAGCAUUUACUAAUUUACAGCACAGUGAAUAGGCAGCGUCGAGUGCUUAGAUGCCCUAAUUACCAGCUAGCCACUGCCUGCGAUUGAUUUCUGUUUUCUGCCUUCGUGCCAAUAUGGGGUGGGCUUAUCUUGUUUUAGGCAGGCUCGCUUGUAAUUCAGAAUCAGAUCGCUCCCAGAACGGUAAAAAAUGAAUGUGGCAGAGUCUCAAAGCUUUUUUCUCCCCUGUUCAUCUAUCUGCAGUAAAUAAUCUCUAUAUUCUAUUUGACCUAUAUACGCAGCUAAAUAUAUACGCAUUUUAUAUAUACCGAGUUUUUGCGAAGUACGAAGGACGACGCGGUAGAAGUUAGUGGACAAGCAUUUUUAGCAUCAACUAGACGAAAUUUGUUGGCGUUCGUCGACAUUUAUUGUUGUGAGAACUUGCAAGGCUUUUUGAGAGACUUUGUUUGAUCGCCUUUUAAAGGCCGGUGGAGUCGUCCUUAAAAGGCAAUAAAUAACAAUUGUCCGAACGACCUUGUAUGGGUACAUAGUAGUGUUUGGCAAGCAUUUUUCAGAGCGUAGCGUUGCUAAACGAGCAUAUGCAGAAACAGUUCCCUUACGAAGUGCUUAAGAUAUAAGACAAGACGUCGCUAACAUGAGUAAUCUAGACGUACUUAAAAUGUUAUUAUAAUAAUAUACUUUGAUUAGGUUAAAGGCCCACCUUCUUCCCUAAAAAACCAAUGCGCUUAUGUCGGAAUGUUAAAAUGCGUCUUCCCAGUGAUGUUUCAAGCUUUCGGCCAGUCUGUUAACUCGUAUCUAUUAGGUCGACUACCGUGUAGGUUUUUUUUUCCUGACUAUUGAUAUGCAGUAGAAGGCGGCCAAGGGUAUUUGUAUCAAAGAGUAGAUCUGCAGGUAGAUGUGUUUCAAUAUUCGAGAUAGAUGUUCGAUCGAACAAAAGGGGUCACGUUGCAACACUCUGGUACUGAAGUGAUCCACUAUUCAUAGUACGAAUGUGCUCCGAAGGUUCCGGCUAAGGCAGAAGAGUAUUUCUGCACCCAAAAAAAGCGAAUCUUCCAAAUUUCAUAGCUCAUUUUCCAGUUGCUCCUUUAUCUCUUUCUUAGAAUGGAAACGUUUUACCGUGUUCCCUGUGCUUUGGCUAUUUAACCACUUCUAUCGAAUUUUGUAAACUGUAGUAGAUAAGGGACCAAACAGCAAGCCUCUAUACGACUACAUGGGCAGCAACCGCUCGUGCGAAAAAUAUCUCGUACGGAAACCCAUAUACUUCAUGGAUCGUUGAAUGUAAGCCGGUCAGUGGAUUGGCGUGAUAUGGCAAACAUUUGGCCCUACCAAUUAAAUGGGUCAAAUAUGCGGCGGCAAUGUCUAUCUGACUAAGCCAACUUGCGUGGAACCUGGAGGCGAAUCAAUUUUCAAGUUAUUUUCCAUGCUCCCGCUUUUCUGCCCUCUCGGUAGUACAUACACAACCAGUGAAGCACUUUGUUUAUCCGAGACAAUCAGCAUCCCUGAGUCCAGUCUCAAGAAUCGGUUCCAACCUGCGGUCGGUUAUAAGCUUUCUCAUAAUGUUGGUAUAUCCAUUUGAAGGCAGAAAGUGACGAUCUUUUCUUGCAUACACGUUGCGUACGAUUGUGAAACUAAGUGUUUAUAAUCAUUGACCAAUCACGUUCUUGAGCACUCCACGCAUUACCAGUCAACUUGCGAUAUCUCACAGUGUAUGCUCGUUUAGACGCUGUCCUGAUGACCUGUUUUGCUGUGAAGUGUUUGUUGCCCAUCAAAGCUAACAACAACAACAACAACAACUGGACUCUCUAUAGCUCGCUCGAGCCUCUAUGCUGAAUAAUUUUUGUUCUAUUUCUGGAAUCCCCUUGAUGCCGUUGCCGAUCUGGCACUACGCCUUAGAAAAUUCACCACGUGAGCACUCCUAGGCUUAGCUUAAAGAACACCAAACGUAGAUACAGUCAAAACGCGUUGUGUUAAAAGCCUCAUUUACGUCCAACGUGUACCCAUUGGUUCAAAGAUGCGGUUCGGGUUUAGCAACGCUCGAAGUCUAAAAAAGCAUGAACUAGAUCUACCAUUUGGCUUGGGUAUAAAACAGUAAAUUUUUUUACCUUUACUUGAUUCUACAAACAGCUACCAUUAAAAUCAAUUCCCGUUGACUGCAGUUACGAUGGAAACGAUAGAGAUAUAUGGUGUAUUAGGAGGCUGCUACAAUAGAUUCUAUUAGCUGUUAUAUAUAUAGACAACCUUGAUCUGACCUAGAGCUACUGUUGUUAUUACCGUUAUGUGCUUCAAAUCUCGAUGAUGUCGGGCCGAUUAGUAAAUCGAAACAAAAUUCGCUACCGCAAACAGAUUAUCACAGUAUUUACAAAUACAUUACAUUGCUAUAGCUGAAAAUUCUAUUUACUUUAAGUUUAUUCGAAACAAAAACACCAACAAUUUAUCAUUCUAUCAGAAUAUAUAAUCGAUAUACCAAAAAGAGUGACAAUUAACUUAGAAAGUAUAGUUACUAUCCGCAGCAUAUAUUUGUGUUAGAAAACACUUACUCCUAUACAUCCGAGAGCUCUGAACAGCUAGCCAUGGCUAAGGCGUACGCUGACACCGGCUAGGGGCGCGGUGUAUCUAGACGCCACAAGUGCGGCCAAGUUUUUAACUUAAUUAGUUUAAAACUGGCCAGUUCUGGUCUUUAGCAGAAAGCUAGAGAAAGUUAGAAGGCUUCCUCAUGUAUUACAGUAGAAGUGCCGCUUGUAAGAUGGCUUUCCCUUCCGUAGGACUCAAGACUGACCUUUGCUUCGGAAACAAGCGGCUCUCAACCCGAAGUAUAUUCUGAUUCUAUUCGUAACGAACUGAUAACCGACGUGCGUCGAUCGAAUACGAACCGUACCGCCGGACGACGAUUGUAGGUAACUUACGUAUUGCGUAAAGAUGAUGUUACAGUUGUCCCGUUCAUCUAAUUUGAGCCUUGUAAACCUAUAGACAGCAUGUCGGUUUUUGUUACGCUUCAUCGUCGUUUGUUACUCGUUCGAUUGAACCAAAUCGAUGUUGUCGGUCGUCUUUGUUGUUAAUGAAUGGAUGGAUGGAUGGAUGCAUUACGGGGGUGUAGGUGGUUCGGAAAAUGUUUGUGUCUGCUCGCCGAUCGUCUGGCGAAAUUCGUAUGAUUAGCAAAACCUAUAGUGAACAUUUAGUGCUUAGUGAAAUACUUACGAUAACUGGCCCGUUUGCCUAAAUUAGUGGUCCGCAUAGAAUAUCUUCCAGCUCCAUGUUACCUGUACCGAGCAUCCUGUCUAUAGAAGAGUACGCGAAAGUCCAAACGCCCCCAGGCGUUCUGACGCAGCAGCGUCAAGACUGUUUUUGUCAACUGAUAUACGGUAUACAUAUAUUGUUCAAUAGUCGAUAAAAACGUUAUCUGAAUGCCAUGGUAUUGUGUCAUUGGACGCUAUUCGGAUACAAGCUAUUCCAUGUUUAUAAUAUGAAUAAAAUUGUUGUGGACAGAUUGUUUGGGUCAUAAAGAAACCCACAAAUGACUCGACGAAGACAAUUAACAUUUGAUGUUGGCGUUGCAGUGUUCCCUCGAUAACACAAUUGAUACCCGUAAGGAAUAUUUACUAUCAGCAAUCACUGCGACGAAACACGCUGAUAUAAAGAUAGUAUCAACUUGAUAUGGAUGUGAUCGAAGGAACAGCGUAUCUAGUCCGCUUUCCGCUUAUAAGAAACGCAAUUUGUUCUAAUCUAUUCGAUGUGCUAACGAUAUGAUACCUGUUUGAACGAGAACAAUUUAUAAACACGGAUCGAAGCAGAUACAGAAAAAACCGGUGCAAGAACUUUGUAACGGCGAGCGCCAGGACGACGAGCGCCAGGACGACGAGCGCUAACGGCAAGGGGAUAUGGCGGAUGAGAAGCGUCGUCUGCAAAAUGGUGCUGUCUAUUCACCGCGGCAAAAUACUGUGCAGUGAAUGAGGCUGCUUUCAGGGCUUUGCGUAUGAAGCUUGCUGACAUUGAAUGUUUUGUAAUAAAAACCACGUCUGCGAACAUGGCAUAACGUAAAUAAACGUAGAGUCGAGAUGAGAGACCAAGCUAAACUAGCCAGAUCAGUACGGUGCGUCAGCAAGUGUACUUGCAGCGGCAAUGCUUUUGGACAUAUGUCGUAGUGUCGACAUACAUACAAUCUGAAUACCAAUAGUUAGGACCAUGUAGGAGCCGAAUAACUUACUGCCAAGUUAAAAAAUCUUAGAUCUCUUUGUAAUAUCGUCCAGUUGUACUAUUCGAUACCUAUUGGCAAAUAAAUGAG